AUCAGACGAAGGACAAAAGGCAGAUGGCUCUAUAAAGGCGGGAGGUGAAGACGCAGAGUGAUCAAGAAUGAAUGCAAUUCAUUUGGAUAGACAGCAGCUGAUUUGUUAUUCAACCUUAGAAGUUGCCUCCUGAAUUCUAGGGUUCUCUUUCCUAGUUUAAAUUCCUGUCCAGAAUUCUGUUGUUUAUUGUUGGGGAAAAGGUAAAGGUAGGGAUGAAAUGCGCCAAAAAACGAAAGAUAGGGACGUUUUCCACAAAAAUCAUGAAAGGUAUGGACGUUUUGUGCUAAUUACCCUUUAUUGUUGUUAUUAUGUGUUCGUCAUUGUUGUGAUAGUUAUUUCACUUGGACAUCGACUCUACCAUCCAAUGCCAAACUGUAUCUUCUAUUUGAUGUUGCUGUGACGUCGUUA
This is a long non-coding RNA of Olea europaea var. sylvestris, 408 nucleotides long. RefSeq lists it as uncharacterized. The record is from RefSeq and is a predicted model, not a curated record. The transcript is spliced from 3 exons. Lineage: Eukaryota; Viridiplantae; Streptophyta; Magnoliopsida; Lamiales; Oleaceae.